Molecule: long non-coding RNA, 1112 nt
Filed under: Monodelphis domestica (gray short-tailed opossum)
Lineage: Eukaryota; Metazoa; Chordata; Mammalia; Didelphimorphia; Didelphidae
Description: lncRNA (ENSMODG00000031515.2)
Source: RNAcentral
AUCCUUUUAUUAUAUUUCCUGCCCUUGUUUUAAUCACAUUUGACUACUACAAAUGCCUCUUAUUUUUCAAAUAUUCUUUUUCCAGUCUGCAUUCUAAAACCAGAGCUCUCCAUUAUACAACAGUCUUGCACCUUGUGUCCUUUUAUUGUCACAGGGGUUUUCCCCUUCUCUUUUAUCUCUGAGAUUUUACCUCAGGAAAUUCCCCUGGGUCAUCUGUUUCUAUCAGGUUCUACUUCCUUUUCAGGAUUACCUUGGCUUUCCAGAUGCCAUUCUGGAUACUUUUCUUGUUGUUCUUCUUUUUUUAAACUCUUAUCUUCUCUCUCAAAAUCAACACUCAAUAUCAGGUCUAAGUCAGAAGAGUGGUAUGGACUAGGCCAUUGGGGCUAAAUGACUUGCCCAGGGUCACCCAGCUAGCUGGACACUUUUUCACUUCCCUGACACAUGAGUCUUCUUGUUGUUUACGUGCCCAUCCAUUAUCCCUGCGGUGUCACCGCAACGGUAAAACAUGUCAGUGACUAUAAUGGACUAAUUUUCUCUUUGAAUUGCUUCCCACAGUCGAUUAUGUGCCAUACAACUCAGAUUAUUACAGCCCUGAUGACCAAUACAUCAACUCAAAUGAUUACAACCAAUAUGACCAAUACAUCAACUCAAAUGAUUACAACCAAUAUGGUAAGUUAGCCUAUUCCUUUUUAAUUACAGAAACUUUUCUUCAGAUUAAGGGACCCAAAAGACAGGAAUGAUUUAAGUUUCUUCCGCUGUUAGAAAAAGGCAGAGACCAGCCUUGGCAAUGAUUAAAAAGCAUUAGGUGCCCCAUCUAGAAACUUUCCAAAUUAGAACUUUCCAGAUCCAUGUUAGGUCAAAGUUUAUGAUAGCCAAUCCAUAUUCUCUACUGUUUUUGUCCAUGACCCAUUUCCCUGAUGUCCAUUGCUGGCCAUAUUCAUGCAGAGAAGCAAUUGCCAGUUAAGUCUUCAAAAGAAGGCUUAGGACAUUGAACUCUAUAGUGUCCCCAUUCAGCAGGAGAGGUAUGUUGGUCUUAGACUUUGUUCUACAUGGAUUUUCUGGUAAAAAACAAAAACAAAAAUAAAAAUAAAAAAACUAAGAAAAUUUUGGCA